Molecule: ribosomal RNA, 505 nt
Filed under: uncultured bacterium
Lineage: Bacteria
Description: partial 16S ribosomal RNA
Rfam family: Bacterial small subunit ribosomal RNA
Source: RNAcentral
GACGAACGCUGGCGGCGUGCCUAAUACAUGCAAGUAGAACGCACAGUUUAGACCGUAGCUUGCUACACCAUAGACUGUGAGUUGCGAACGGGUGAGUAACGCGUAGGUAACCUGCCUGGUAGCGGGGGAUAACUAUUGGAAACGAUAGCUAAUACCGCAUAAUAUUAAUUAUUGCAUGAUAAUUAAUUGAAAGGUGCAAUUGCACCACUACCAGAUGGACCUGCGUUGUAUUAGCUAGUAGGUGAGGUAACGGCUCACCUAGGCGACGAUACAUAGCCGACCUGAGAGGGUGAUCGGCCCCACUGGGACUGAGACACGGCCCAGACUCCUACGGGAGGCAGCAGUAGGGAGUCUUCGGCAAAGGACGAAAGUCUGACCGAGCGACGCCGCGUGAGUGAAGAAGGUUUUCGGAUCGUAAAGCUCUGUUGUAAGAGAAGAACGGGUGUGAGAGUGGAAAGUUCACGCUGUGACGGUAUCUUACCAGAACGGGACGGCUAACUACGUG